Molecule: ribosomal RNA, 449 nt
Filed under: uncultured bacterium
Lineage: Bacteria
Description: bacterial SSU rRNA
Rfam family: Bacterial small subunit ribosomal RNA
Source: RNAcentral
AACGAACGCUGGCGGCAGGCCUAACACAUGCAAGUCGAACGAGACCUUCGGGUCUAGUGGCGCACGGGUGCGUAACGCGUGGGAAUCUACCCUUAGGUGCGGAAUAACUCAGAGAAAUUUGAGCUAAUACCGCAUAAUGACUCCGGUCCAAAGAUUUAUCGCCUAAGGAUGAGCCCGCGUAAGAUUAGCUAGUUGGUGAGGUAAAAGCUCACCAAGGCGACGAUCUUUAGCUGGUCUGAGAGGACGAUCAGCCACACUGGGACUGAGACACGGCCCAGACUCCUACGGGAGGCAGCAGUGGGAAUAUUGGACAAUGGGCGCAAGCCUGAUCCAGCCAUGCCGCGUGAGUGAUGAAGGCCUUAGGGUUGUAAAGCUCUUUUACCAGGGAUGAUAAUGACAGUACCUGGAGAAUAAGCUCCGGCUAACUCCGUGCCAGCAGCCGCGGUAAU